Delphinapterus leucas (beluga whale) is the source of this 5874-nucleotide non-coding RNA. NCBI's taxonomy places the organism in Eukaryota, Metazoa, Chordata, Mammalia, Artiodactyla, Monodontidae. The record is from RefSeq and is a predicted model, not a curated record.
UCCGCUACGCCAGCCUCCAGCCGCAGGCUGCGAGCUUCCCAGCCGCUAGACGCCGGCGGCGGGACUUCCGGCCGUUCGGCUCCCGCAAAAUGGCGGCCGCCGUGAGGGUUUUGACGUUUCGUUUUCCUCUCCGUAAAUUCAGGUGUAGAAGCCUCUUGCCUUUCCGCCUAACCCCAGCCUCGUGUGGUCUGUCAAGUCCUCUCUUGAUUAGCCUAGUCGUUUUUAUAGCACAGUUUAAAGCAAGGUCUUUAAUCGUGGGUCAGACUCCUGCCUUUCACCUUUCUCAAGGCAGUGUGACCUUGACCUUCCUAAAUCAGAGACUAAAAUGUCUGUAAAGCUUUAGCCCUGUGCUUGGUUUAGAAUAAGCAUCCAGACCCUGACUGCUUGUGUUUUCUAUUGUCGGGGGAACGACAUCCAUAUCCCCUCAGUGUACUGAGCGGAAACUGUAUUGGUGGAAAACUUACAGAGCAGGAACUGAAUAUAUAGAACCUGAAUUCUGCUCCUGUUCUCACUUCACCCUUGUUCUCUAUCUUCUUAACUUUUAAUAGCUUCCCUGUUUCCCUUGAACCUGGAUGCUAUUUUUUUUUAAUCUCCUGAUUAUAUCUCAAAGCUAAAAGGAUUUGUGUUUAGAAAGUAUGGAGAUUAAUUCAAUUAAAUAAAUAUUUAUUCAGCUUUGACUUCUAGCGGAAUACUGGAAGAUAGACCUGGAAAGGUAAGUUAGGGUGAACCUGUAGGAAGUUCCUUAGGUUAGCCUUACAGUUUGGACCCAUCCUCUGACCACAGUAAAACCAUCAAAUUCUUUUUUCAUGAAAACAUGUCUUAGUGAUCACACUAUUUUCGGAUAUGCAAUCUGGAAGCUUUCCCAGGAUUAGCUGAAAGACUGAAAGCAGGAAAAACAUGACUUUGGGAAAAACCAAGCCACGAGGAAAUAAAGAUGUACCCUGGGGAGGUGGUAAUGAAAAGAAUGAAAGAGGCUUGAGAGACAUUACAAAAGGAGAACUGAUGGGACUGGAUUACUGAUAGGGCAAGAAAAGGAAGGAGAUAAUGAAGGAAGAUACUAGCAGCCAUCUAGGGACCAUGAGAGGAACCAGUCUUAGAAUGAUGCAGACACCAAGGAAAGCACAGCAGAGGGAAGGAAAUAAACGGGUCCUUGAUGACAUAUUGAGUUGUAGGAUCAGCUUCACCUGAAGCCAGUCAACCUGUGGACUUCGCACUCAUGAGGAAUCACCUGCUUGUAUGGAAGUAGGAACAGCUGAACUGGGUGGCCUGGAUUACAGGGCUCCAAGAACAGAGAAGCGAUGCACUUUGCCAGAUUCAGAAUCCAACUAGAGGACCUUAAAGUGAAUGACCCACCCAUCAAAGAUAUUCCUGUCUGGAAGUCUUGGCUCAGGUCUCUGAUGGAGGUGGGAGGCAUGCCCAGCCCUGGUUCGUCUCUCAAGGAGUCUUCAGUGCCUAAUCUGAUUCCACGACCCAUCAGCUUUCAAAGGGAUUAUGGAGAGCUCUCUUGGCAUUAUGGAUGGACAAGAACCAGGAUGAGGUUGUCCAAGCUCCAGAGGGCUGAAGGCAAUGAGGCAAUCAAUGCAAGAGGAGAAGCAGAAAAGGCUGCUCAACCCAAGAAGAAGCCAAAGUAGCCUGGAAUGGAAUCUUCAGUAUCUCCGAAGUAAGCCUGUACAGCUCAAGUCCGCUGAAGAUCAGAGCUUUCUAAGCCAAGAUGUUUUGUUUCCGUCCGCCACACUUAAUGGGGUGACAAUAACUCUCCCAGAGGAUGCCUGACAGAAGCACAGAGAUGAGUACACAAGGAGGAAACUCAGAUUCCUCACUCUCAAAGGACUCUUAAGAGGUUCAGACUUAUAUUUGUGACACACACCAUGUACCUCUGAGAACACGGUAUCAGCUGAAAGAAUGAAAAACAGAGGCACAUUUUGGAGAAGUACUGGGAUAGCUGACGUCCAAGGUUCUUUUAACUCUCAAUUCUUUGAGAUACGAGUCUAGCCUCACAAGGAGUUUCAUGAUGCCAAGCCAUGGCAGAAUUCCUAGAAGUGGAGCUUCCAAGGAUUAGUGACCUAGAGUCUUCUACUUUGCCUGGUGCCACUUGAUGGUACAGACUUUAUUCUUCUCAACUAACGUAGGGCCUGGAGUCCAAGGGACACUCAAUACAUGAAUAAAUACAUGCAGGCCUGAGGCUGGACAGAGGUGGAGGCCUGCAGCUAUUAUCUCCUUCGCUCUCCACUAACCUCGGGAAAACACAGAACUUGAUCACCUACCAGCUCCAUAGGACCUUGUUUCCUGCUGUCGCCUCAGCAUCUAGAACAGCAUCUGACUCCUGGUGUUCCCAGAUCCGCGUCAGUUUCUCCGAAUAAGGAAUUUUAAGGACGAAUGAGACUGCAGAGAUCAGAGUCCACACCAUCAUUUACAGAAGAGGAAACGGGGGUCCAGAGAGGUUAAGUGACCUGCCUCUGUCACACAGCAGGCAGCAGCAGAGCUGGUGCCAGAAGCCCGGUCUCUCUCUCCAUGGUCUAGUGUCAUUAUGGCCUUAAGCCUCAUUUUAAGUUCAGAGGAGGAUUUCACUUAAUUCCUCUCUAUAAGCAUAAGAAGAGGUGGAAGGAAGAGGGGUAGAGAGAAGGCUGUGAUGUGGAGGGAAGCAGUUGAGGGUAGGGUUUGUAUUGCUGUUGGGGAUGUUAUUAUAAUCAAAGGCCGAAGAAAAGUGGAUUGAGACCCCGAGGCAAAUAAAGAUAAUCACAAUCCUGGACUUCAAAGAGAAUUUUAAAUGCGUAUAUCACCCUAUUCAAUACAUAGACCAGUCCCAGCCUAAUGACAGAGUAAAACAAUAAUCAACAGUCUCCGGACCAAUCAGAUGAAGAAUCCUCCAUGUUAAUCUACAGAAACAGAAAAUGAAGGACGGACAGAGAUUAUAGUACAACACGGUGGUUCUCACCAGUCUGGGUAAAGCCGUAAAGAAUCACAGCCAACGACCCUCCUAUGGUGACCCCAAAUCAACAGAGACUGAAUAAGGGCAACAGUGACAUGUAUAAAAUAUAAGAACAAUUGUUUUUUAUAAUUCUGGUUUCUCAAGUUGUGUUUCCAUGACUACCUGUUAUGGUUCAGUAUUUCCCUGGUAGUAGAAACAUAUUUUAGAAUACUGUAUUCCUUCCAUUCUAAAACACCACCUUCUUCAAUAGCAAAAUACCCCCCUUAUAGCUUUUUCGGGGGAAAAGGAAACAGUACCAAAUUAAAUGUAUGCAUUUAUUGUAAGAGAAAUUCUACGUGCAACUUGUUAAAAUAUGGGAAUUAUGUGAUUUAAAAGAGCAGAAACAAAGGAAUUAACUUCUUCCCCAUAAACUUAUCAGUACAGCUACAUAGAGGGAUGAUCAUUUAAAAAUAAUCUCAGAAACAGAGAAAUUAAAAACAAAUUUUGUACUAUUCUAUGUCCUGCUAAUAUAAAUUGGUAUAAUUUUACUUGGGGAAAUAUUUGCAAUACAUUUCCUUAUGUUUUGGCAGCUCAGCCUCCACUGACCCUACUUACAAUGAUGUCCUUCCGUUUUCGUUUGGAGACGCAUCCCUCCCUCCCUCCCUCCCUCCCUCCUUCCCAGACCCUGUGGGUCCAGAGGAAUUCACUCCCAUUCCAGAUACACGAAGAGCUGGCUCGUAGGAUCCUUGCAUUCAUGUGGCCCCAGAGACUUUUCUGGCGAUGGCCUGUGACCUCAUCAGAACCAAGGGAAUUUGUGGCCAGAGGAGAGGACUCUUCCUGAGGGGUGAGACUGGAGUUGGAUCUGUGAAGAUGGAGGGGCUGGAAUUGGCUCACUCAUCCUCUCACCCACAUGGGGUUUGAAAAUGAGACCAACAAAGUGGGGAGCUGGGGAUGGAGAAAACCCAGCUGUUGACGUUGUUGGCUGAAUCCAUCUAUACCUGAAGCUAGCUCUAUUUUGGACUUUUAACUUACACUAGCAAAUAAAUUCUCUAUUUUGUUUAAGCUAGUGUGAUCAGGUUUUCUAUCACUGGCAAUACAAACACUCUUAUGUGAUACAGAAAUCAGUACUAGAAGUGAAUGUUGAAUGUGACUAACCCUAAAAUGUGCAACUGGCUGAUUUAAGGUUGGACGACAGCUAGUGCAGGCUCUCCUGCACUAGGAGGUUGACCAUCCUGGCUAUGUGAUGGCAACACUGCUGGUUAUGGUGCCACCUAUUGAAUCCUGGGUCUAAGACCACGAGCCUCCUGAAGGUGCACCAUUAAAGGAUUUGGAGAUGAAAUUUAGAAGGUUGGAGUGUGUCAGCUACUUGCAGCCUUCAGUGAGAGCCACAGGAAAGAGAUAAACAUAGGAUGAAACUGAUUGGAAGCCCAGAGGCAGGGAAAAAGGGCUUUGUUAAUAGAGGCCUUUUUUUUUUCCUGUGAGGUGCAACCAAGAUGGUUGAAGAGUCAAAUAAUCUGGAGCUUUGUGGGCUUAAAAACCCAAAUUCUCAACACUAUGCUAACAUUAGAUAGAGCAAGGCCAGACGGUAAGAACAAUAUCAGGAAAGAAGUUUGAAACCUAGGAGAAGCCUGAUUCCCCAUCGUCUCUCCAAAGAGACUGUGGUCUCUCAUCUGAGCAGAAGGCCCGUUACAUUCAUUGUGAUACACUGGUUUCCAUCUCAGGAGCGAGGAGUAAAUUAUUAGUGGCUUCACCACCUCAGGCCACUGUUUCAAACUGUACCUAAUCAGAGGCCACAAAAUUUGGGAGCAGAGGAUGGUUCAUUUGCUGGGAGACAGAAAUGCCCAGGCUUGGCUUCACAUUCAAAGAGUACGACUCAACGCAAUCCUGAGUUUUGUUCACUAGUCCAUGGAGUUCAGGCAUUAGAGAAUCCUACCACGUUUUUAAGUACUAGAGGAUAAAGCCCCAGAAUGGUCGAAAACAGUUUAUGAUUGCUCAAAUCCUAAGUCAAUCCCUAGAUCCCCGAAGCCAGGAGAACAGGGUGUAUGUAGGCCGUGGAACAGGUGCAGCCCUGCUCUUAGAGACGGCUCUGAAGGCAACAGAUAAGGAAGACCCACCCAGAGAGCAGGAGGUUAAGCCACUGGAUGACCAAAGUCCUCAUUCUGUUGCCACACAGCUAGAAUCUGUUCAGUGGGUUAUAAAAUAUGCUAGAGACAGGAGAGCAAUGUCUCCGCUCCUUUCCCAAAUGGAAGUUUAAUUGUGAAAUUCUUCUACUGCUCUCCCUCCACCAUUGUAUACUGGGUGUUAAAUUUAUAAUUUAGCACUGGACCGUGAGAUACUAUGUUCAGCACUGACGGACAAGACUGUGGAAAGUAUGCACUCGGCGCUGGACUUGGACCUGGAUUGGCCACCUAUUUUGGGGAGGAGGGUGAGUGUGAUUUAUUAUGUGGGAGCAUUUUUGAAACUGUAUGUGUGGGAAGAUGUGUGUUGCAUAGGUAAAUAGAGUAUACACUGGUUGCUUUGGGGCUGUCCAGCAGCCAUUCUUCUGAAUUACAGUAGAGCAUCAGAUCUGGGGAGAGAGACAUCCACUGAUCUCUACCCCUGCUCUUCUGGCUUCAGUUGGGCUAACUCUACCCGGGCUCUAGGAAUGGAAAGUGACCAGCCCUGGCCACUUAGAGCCUGCGGUUCCCUGGCUGCAGUGAUUGGUUCAGAGAUGAGCAUGUGACUACUUCGUACCAGGGAGGUGCCAUGAGACUUUUUCUAAGAUGUGUGGGGCUGGGACUGGUGGUAUGACAGCCACACUGUACACACACGGAGACUGAGAAUGAAGCCCGUGCAGUGAACAAGCUGUGAGAGGAGCCUGAGACUAAUGGAUAAAUUAGGAGUUUGGGAUUAACAGAUACACACUACUAUAUCCCACUCCUGGGCAUAUAUCUGGAGAAAACUCUAAUUCAAAAAGAUACAUGCAC